GGUAAGAUCACACAAGAGGAAGUAAAAAAAAAUUUAAAAAAAACUAUUGGAUUUUCCCAGCCUUCUAAGCACAAGGAAUACAGACAAAGCCUCUUGAAAUAACCCUAAUCUGGGUGCAACAACAUUGUGGAAAGUUUUUUUUUUUUAAAUCACCAGUGUGAAGGAUUCAGCAAGACUGGAUUUCAGAACAAAUACAUUGUGAUCAUCCCGCAGUGGAUUAAACACACUGUGCAUCUUGAGCCAAAAUAAUUCAAAUCGAGAAAAAGGUGGAAUUACAGCUCUAGAUCCUCUGCAGUGUGCUUGGAUUAGACAGUCCAGCUUUACCUCCAGACCCUCAUCUCUCCCUACACCCCGACUCGACCUCUCCGCUCCGCCUACACUAGAAGACUGGCUCUACCUCCGCUACGCUCCCCUGCCUCCCGAGCCUGCUCCUUCUCCACCCUUGCUCCGCAGUGGUGGAACGACCUUCCUACAGAUGUCAGGACUGCCCAGUCCCUGACCACAUUCCGGCGCCUCCUUAAGACUCACCUCUUCAAACAGCACCUGUAGAACUCCUCUGUUGUAUCCUGGGACACUAUCACCCUUCAUUUAAAUGUGCUUUAUUUUGCUCUUAUCUGCCCCCUAUUUUACUGCAUUUAAUCCUGUACUUCAGAAUAUUGUAAUUUGCCAAGUGUUUAACCUGUAGUAUUUUGUACUUAAUCAUAUCCUGAUGUAACUAUCACUAUUUAAUCAUAUCCUGAUGUAACUAUCACUAUUAUCUGCUGUAUUAUUGAAUUGUGGUUUGUCACACUUGAACAAAAAUUAUUGUAUUUCUUGCUCUUAUUGUAUUACUUGUAUUGUAACACUUGAAUGUAUUUGUAUUUGCUUGCGAUUGUAAGUCGCCCUGGAUAAGGGUGUCUGCUAAGAAAUAAAUAAUAAUAAUAAUAAUAAUUUAACAAUGACACAAUACCAGACUUAAAGCCCUUAAAAUGCUGAGGGUGUUUUGAAUUGGAGGAGAGGUGCUUACA
Molecule: long non-coding RNA, 1007 nt
Organism: Acipenser ruthenus (sterlet)
Lineage: Eukaryota; Metazoa; Chordata; Actinopteri; Acipenseriformes; Acipenseridae
Exons: 3
Source: RefSeq, a predicted model, not a curated record